RNAcentral lists this ribosomal RNA (301 nucleotides) under uncultured bacterium. RNAcentral's name for it is "partial 16S ribosomal RNA". It matches the Rfam family "Bacterial small subunit ribosomal RNA", at positions 509 to 807 of the family's 1533-position model. The record is from RNAcentral.
CAGCAGCCGCGGGAAUACGGAGGAUCCGAGCGUUAUCCGGAAUUAUUGGGUUUAAAGGGUGCGUAGGCGGAUAGAUAAGUCAGUGGUGAAAGACGGUGGCUCAACCAUCGCAGUGCCGUUGAUACUGUUUAUCUUGAAUAUGGAUGAGGUAGGCGGAAUGUGGCAAGUAGCGGUGAAAUGCAUAGAUAUGCCACAGAACACCGAUUGCGAAGGCAGCUUACCAAGGCAAAAUUGACGCUGAGGCACGAAAGCGUGGGGAUCGAACAGGAUUAGAUACCCGAGUAGUCCCUGUCUCUUAUAC